RNAcentral lists this ribosomal RNA (497 nucleotides) under uncultured bacterium. RNAcentral's name for it is "partial 16S ribosomal RNA". It matches the Rfam family "Bacterial small subunit ribosomal RNA", at positions 28 to 507 of the family's 1533-position model. The record is from RNAcentral.
GAUGAACGCUGGCGGCAUGCCUUAUACAUGCAAGUCGAACGGCCACACGGGUGCUUUCAUCCUCUGACGUUUGCCGCAGGGGGGAGUGUUACAUGUGGACAUGUUCCCUAUAGGACUGGAGCCCCUCCGAAACAGCGGUGAUACUACCGACUAACAUCUUAUGCAGCCUGGGGACCUAGUGACCGACGGCUUUGCUGUCACUUAUAGAUGGAUCAGCGCCGCAUUAGCUAGUUGGUAAGGUAACGGCUUACCAAGGCAACGAUGCGUAGCCGGCCUGAGCGGGUGAUCGGCCACACUGGGACUGAGACACGGCCCAGACUCCUACGGGAGGCAGCAGUGGGGAAUCUUCCGCAAUGGGCGAAAGCCUGACGGAGCAACGCCGCGUGAGUGAAGAAGGUCUUCGGAUUGUAAAACUCUGUUGUUAGGAAAGAACAAAUGGGUAAGUAUCCAGGCGCGUCAUGACGGUACCGAAACAGUAAGCCCCGGCUAACUACGUG